UGAGCAAUCUGCCCUUCUCAUCGGAAUAAGCGUUGGAAACGACGUCUAAUGCCGAAUAUGACCUCCUUUUCACAUGAUCGGAGGUGGAAAGCUCCGGCGGAGAAGGAUGAGCUCGCGGCCUAUCAGCUAGUUGGUGUGGUAAUGGCCCACCAAGGCGACGUACGGGUAGCCGGCCUGAGAGGGUCGACCCGGCCACACGUGGGACUGAGACACGGCCCAGCUCCGUAGGA
This 230-nucleotide ribosomal RNA is filed under the name uncultured bacterium. RNAcentral's name for it is "partial 16S ribosomal RNA". It matches the Rfam family "Bacterial small subunit ribosomal RNA", at positions 118 to 344 of the family's 1533-position model. The record is from RNAcentral.